This 600-nucleotide ribosomal RNA is filed under the name uncultured bacterium. Its description in RNAcentral is "bacterial SSU rRNA". It matches the Rfam family "Bacterial small subunit ribosomal RNA", at positions 726 to 1330 of the family's 1533-position model. The record is from RNAcentral.
UUUCCAGUCCUUAACUGACGCUAAAGCUCGAAAGUGCGGGUAUCGAACAGGAUUAGAUACCCUGGUAGUCCGCACGGUAAACGAUGGAUGCCCGCUGUUGGCGACACACUGUCAGCGGCCAAGCGAAAGCGUUAAGCAUCCCACCUGGGGAGUACGCCGGCAACGGUGAAACUCAAAGGAAUUGACGGGGGCCCGCACAAGCGGAGGAACAUGUGGUUUAAUUCGAUGAUACGCGAGGAACCUUACCCGGGCUUGAACUGCCAGUGAACGAUUCAGAGAUGAUGAGGCCCUUCGGGGCGCUGGUGGAGGUGCUGCAUGGUUGUCGUCAGCUCGUGCCGUGAGGUGUCGGCUUAAGUGCCAUAACGAGCGCAACCCUUUUCUCCAGUUGCCAUCAGGUUGAGCUGGGCACUCUGGAGACACUGCCACCGUAAGGUGUGAGGAAGGUGGGGAUGACGUCAAAUCAGCACGGCCCUUACGUCCGGGGCUACACACGUGUUACAAUGGGUGGUACAGAGCGUUGGUUGUAUGCAAAUACGAUCUAAUCCUUAAAGCCAUCCUCAGUUCGGAUUGGGGUCUGCAACCCGACCCCAUGAAGCUGGA